UACGUAGGGGGCAAGCGUUGUCCGGAAUUAUUGGGCGUAAAGCGCGCGCAGGUGGUUCUUUAAGUCUGAUGUGAAAGCCCACGGCUCAACCGUGGAGGGUCAUUGGAAACUGGGGAACUUGAGUGCAGAAGAGGAAAGUGGAAUUCCACGUGUAGCGGUGAAAUGCGUAGAGAUGUGGAGGAACACCAGUGGCGAAGGCGACUUUCUGGUCUGUAACUGACACUGAGGCGCGAAAGCGUGGGGAGCGAACAGG
Molecule: ribosomal RNA, 253 nt
Filed under: uncultured bacterium
Lineage: Bacteria
Description: partial 16S ribosomal RNA
Rfam family: Bacterial small subunit ribosomal RNA
Source: RNAcentral